GUCUACGGUCAUGUCACCCUGAACAAGCCCAAUGUCUGAUCUCGGAAGCUAAAGAGGGUUGGGCCUGGUUAGUACUUAGAUGGGAGACCAUCUAAGAAAACCAGGUACUAUAGGCA
RNAcentral lists this ribosomal RNA (116 nucleotides) under Pteropus alecto (black flying fox). Lineage: Eukaryota; Metazoa; Chordata; Mammalia; Chiroptera; Pteropodidae. The record is from RNAcentral.